Molecule: ribosomal RNA, 292 nt
Filed under: uncultured bacterium
Lineage: Bacteria
Description: partial 16S ribosomal RNA
Rfam family: Bacterial small subunit ribosomal RNA
Source: RNAcentral
GUGUCAGCCGCCGCGGUAAAACGUAGGGGACAAGCGUUAUCCGGAUUUACUGGGCGUAAAGCGCCCGUAGGCGGCUUGAUAAGUUGGACGUGAAAGCUCCCGGCUUAACUGGGAGAGGCCGUUCAAAACUGCCAAGCUAGAGUGAGGAAGAGGAGAGCAGAAUUCCCGGUGUAGUGGUGGAAUGCGUAGAGAUCGGGAGGAAUGCCAGUGGCGAAAGCGGCUCUCUGGUCCUAAACUGACGCUGAGGGGCGAAAGCGUGGGGAGCGAACGGGAUUAGAUACCCUUGUAGUCC